UACGAAGGGGGCUAGCGUUGUUCGGAAUUACUGGGCGUAAAGCGCGCGCAGGCGGCUAUCCAAGUCAGUGGUGAAAGCCCGGAGCUCAACUCCGGAACUGCCAUUGAAACUGUUUAGCUUGAGGAUGAGAGAGGUGAGUGGAAUUCCCAGUGUAGAGGUGAAAUUCGUAGAUAUUGGGAAGAACACCGGUGGCGAAGGCGGCUCACUGGCUCAUUACUGACGCUGAGGCACGAAAGCUAGGGGGAGCAAACAGG
This 254-nucleotide ribosomal RNA is filed under the name uncultured bacterium. RNAcentral's name for it is "partial 16S ribosomal RNA". It matches the Rfam family "Bacterial small subunit ribosomal RNA", at positions 524 to 776 of the family's 1533-position model. The record is from RNAcentral.